Artibeus jamaicensis (Jamaican fruit-eating bat) is the source of this 881-nucleotide long non-coding RNA. RefSeq lists it as uncharacterized. The record is from RefSeq and is a predicted model, not a curated record. The transcript has 2 exons. Lineage: Eukaryota; Metazoa; Chordata; Mammalia; Chiroptera; Phyllostomidae.
CCGGGGCCUCCGCGUUGCUGCCACUCGACUUCAUCGCGCCGUUCUGGGCAGUCCCCGAAGGUCCCCGCCGUUAAGAGGACCUGCAGACUCAGACCACUCAGUCCUCAGUGCCGGACAAAACCUGAGGCUUCGGGGAGGUCAGUGGGAGGAGGCAGAAAACAGGCAUAUACACAUAUGACAGUUUUCUCCAGCGAAAUUUGCGUGCAAGGGAUGUGUGCACUUUCAGAGAAGGAAGUGGGGAGACGUCUUGCCGGAAGCUCUCUGAAAAUUCCUGCGGAAAGCCCAGCUUCAGGCUGACGCCGCUCCUGGCACUGAGCAGUUUCGCCAAACCGGUCGAGGUGCCCUGGCAGGGGAGACAGUGGCUUGUGUGCCACUCACUGGGCCGGAGGCCCUGGGCUCCUCACUUCCCACCCCGCACUCCGGCCUCCUCUGCGGGAGCUCGCCGACCAACUGGAGCUCACACGGCUCUCGCUCAAGGCGGCCAGAGCUUCCAUGGCGGAGUGUGCGGGUCCCUCGAGGCUCACGCGCGGUGAGGAGCGCCCACCGGACUACUUCACGUCACCAGGCGGAGGCAAAAGUAGCACAAAGUCCCGGGAGGAGCCCCGGUAGCUGUGGGGACCCUGAGGUGGAUCCCGAAUGAGCAGCACCACCUCCCAACGAAGCUCCGGGCCCAGGGCCAGCUCUCCGAAAAGAUGACUGCCUGACCCUGACCUUCCCACUCAGCCUGACAUCCCACAGCUAAGGAGGAAGGGCCCACUGGGCACCCAGUGAAACAGCGUGUCUGGACUGCAGCCACCCUGGCCCUGUGACGGGAAAAGACAUCGGCAUUUGGGCUGCCUGUCACUACCAAACCCAAUAAACAAUGACAGCGAUUGACUCUU